Molecule: ribosomal RNA, 431 nt
Filed under: uncultured bacterium
Lineage: Bacteria
Description: bacterial SSU rRNA
Rfam family: Bacterial small subunit ribosomal RNA
Source: RNAcentral
GUGAGGAAUUUUGCGCAAUGGGAGCAAUCCUGACGCAGCAACGCCGCGUGAGUGAUGAAGGCCUUCGGGUCGUAAAGCUCUGUCAGGUGGGAAGAAUGUCCCGCAUGGGAAUACUGUGUGGGAGUGACGGUACCACCAGAGGAAGCACCGGCUAACUCCGUGCCAGCAGCCGCGGUAAUACGGAGGGUGCGAGCGUUAUUCGGAAUUACUGGGCGUAAAGCGCGUGUAGGCGGGGAGGCAAGUCUGAUGUGAAAGCCCUGGGCUUAACCCGGGAAGUGCAUUGGAAACUGCUUUUCUUGAGUUCUGGAGAGGAAGGGGGAAUUCCCGGUGUAGAGGUGAAAUUCGUAGAGAUCGGGAGGAAUACCAGUGGCGAAGGCGCCCUUCUGGACGGAUACUGACGCUGAGACGCGAAAGCGUGGGGAGCAAACAGG